RNAcentral lists this transfer RNA (69 nucleotides) under Panthera leo (lion). Its description in RNAcentral is "tRNA-Gly". Lineage: Eukaryota; Metazoa; Chordata; Mammalia; Carnivora; Felidae. The record is from RNAcentral. RNAcentral also lists the same sequence under 1 other name.
AUUCCUUUAGUAUCAACAAGUACAGCUGACUUCCAAUCAGCCAGUUUCGGUAGAACCCGAAAAGGAAUA